UCAGAAAAUAAUAUAUAUAAUUAAGUAUGUAAAUUUUGGAGAUUUAUUGAGAUGUAAUCUUUUCUGAA
Molecule: transfer RNA, 68 nt
Filed under: Dermacentor albipictus
Lineage: Eukaryota; Metazoa; Arthropoda; Arachnida; Ixodida; Ixodidae
Description: tRNA-Pro
Source: RNAcentral